UACGGAGGGUGCAAGCAUUAAUCGGAUUUAUUGGGCGUAAAGGGCGCGUAGGCGGGCUAGUCAGUCGAAUGUGAAAUACCAAAGCUCAACUUUGGGGCUGCAUUUGAAACUACUGGUCUGGAGGAUUGGCGGAGAAAAUGGAAUUCCACGUGUAGCGGUGAAAUGCGUAGAUAUGUGGAAGAACACCUGUGGCGAAAGCGAUUUUCUAGCUUAUACCUGACGCUGAGGCGCGAGAGCAAGGGGAG
This 245-nucleotide ribosomal RNA is filed under the name uncultured bacterium. Its description in RNAcentral is "partial 16S ribosomal RNA". It matches the Rfam family "Bacterial small subunit ribosomal RNA", at positions 524 to 768 of the family's 1533-position model. The record is from RNAcentral.